GUCACAUGACAAGCUGAGAAAAUUCAACAUGGCGGCUCGCUGCCGUGACUAGUUUACCGAUCCUGUUUACGUGCACAUACUAACGAUUUUUACCGUUAAAUCAACGCCACCAACGAGAGCCGACCACGCGCCCUCUCACCAGCCAGAGUGGAGGACCUCGAGGACUUCAUAGAUAGAUAUUACGCUGAGUACGUGAUGGAGUCCGGACCAAAAGCCAGUACAUCAGGUAAGUCGGCGAAGCGCCGGAAAAACGAUUCGGCCACCGAUACAUCAGACCUCGAGGUAGAAUCCCACACGGAACUCCUACAGACCAUAAUUAAGAGGCUGGAUGUGCUCGACUUACUGCACCGAGACGUUCAGGAAAUGAAAGUCAGCCUGGAAUUUGCCUAUCAACAAAUCCAGGACUUACAAAAAGAUAAUCAUGAUAUCCAUUCGGCUUUAUCUGCGGUGAGCUCCGAGGUAAAAGAGCUGAAAAAAGAAAACAAGUUUCUUAAAGAAUCAGUCCUGGACAUCCAAUCUCGUAGUAUGAGAGACAACGUAAUAUUCUCAGGUAUUCCAGAAACCCCCAACGAUGACCCACAUGCUCUGCUGAAAGACUUCAUGUCGUCGGCGCUUAAAAUCCCGGCAGAAACCGUGAAAAACAUCACAUUUCACCGUGUCCAUCGCCUCGGACCACGGAGAGGAAACCGUCCACGUCCCAUCAUUGCCAAAUUUGAGCACUUUCAACAGAAGAUCCAGGUUAAAAGUAAAGGUCGGGAACUUAAAGGUACGCAAUUCGGCAUGAAUGAUCAAUUCCCUCGGGAAAUAAACGAACGUCGAAAAACCCUGUAUCCUAUCUUUAAAGAAAACCGACAGAAAGGCAAAAAUUCCAAACUGGUCGUAGACAAGCUUUACAUAGAUGGCCAACUGUUUAGGGACUUAAACAUCACGCCCUGGCUCUACUGAGAAAGACAAAUCUAAAAAUAAUAAUAAUAAUGAAGUUAAAAAAAAAAACACAACACAGGUGUUAUGUGAGUUAACAUUGAAAGGAUAAUUCUCCACUUAUGGUGAAGCUAAGGUAGCAUUAUUUUUUUAAAAAAAAUUAAAAUAAAUAUAUAUGUUGUAUGUGUGUAUGUAUAUAUCUGUACA
This is a long non-coding RNA of Gouania willdenowi (blunt-snouted clingfish), 1128 nucleotides long. NCBI's taxonomy places the organism in Eukaryota, Metazoa, Chordata, Actinopteri, Blenniiformes, Gobiesocidae. The record is from Ensembl.